This is a long non-coding RNA of Anguilla anguilla (European eel), 827 nucleotides long. RefSeq lists it as uncharacterized. The transcript is spliced from 2 exons. Lineage: Eukaryota; Metazoa; Chordata; Actinopteri; Anguilliformes; Anguillidae. The record is from RefSeq and is a predicted model, not a curated record.
GGGAAAGGAGGAGAACAAAGACACUCAGUUAUAAGCGCUGCGCUUCGCAGGGGAAUGAAAACCACGGCAUUAACGCCAGAGCGCCACAGGGAAACGGCGUUACCACAGACGGGGGAGAACAGACCGUUUACGCCUGCUUCACAGCCGCCUGACGACAACAUUCGGCCUCUCAAGUCUUCUCCUCGUACCCACGGAAUAGCAGCUUGUGGUGAAAUCUCAGUUACUCACUCACUGGCACAAAAAGGAAGUUCAACAAAAUAGGUCAAACAAAGUAGCCUUCUGAAACACAGCUGUGCCAAUGUGAGACCAUAGAACAUGACCUUUAAGUCUGGAAGGAAAAGGAACUAUUCCUGCUGACAAAAAUCAAAAGAUUAAGUGUUAGCAGUGUGCGCAAUACCAAAGAAUGAACACCAGGGGGCAAUAAGGAUACAGGCCUUUUUCUCCCCAGAAGAAAAAUGUGGUGGCAAAACAAAAACACAAACUUUAUUAACACCACUGCCAAUAAUUUCACCCAAAAGGAAAAAAAAAGAUUCACAGGUAAUCUCCAGAAUGUUCCACAACACAAGCAUCAAUUAUGACGAAUACUCUAGAGAGGACUGAAUCAGGAAUUGAAGAUAUACAGAACUGAACUAAAUCACCUCGGAUGCAGUAACAGAACAUGUUGGAACAGUUUUAAAAAGCUUUGUCCAAAUUCAAUAAAUCGAGUGUUAAUCGCCACAAUUGAUAAAAGUCUAAAAGAUACAGUGAUAUUUAGUCUUUUGGGUUACAGCUGACCCCAGAACAGAAGAAAAUCCUUCAUUUUUCUGAAUUAAAAUGAGAGAAAUUAA